Crocodylus porosus (Australian saltwater crocodile) is the source of this 75-nucleotide small nucleolar RNA. The record is from Ensembl. Lineage: Eukaryota; Metazoa; Chordata; Crocodylia; Crocodylidae.
UGAAAUGAUGAUACCUGUAAAUAGGAAGUGCCGUCAGAUGCGAUAACUGACGAUAAACUUCUCACUUGUCUGAAC